GGGCGAGUGGCGAAACAGGCAAACGCAGUGGACUUAAAAUCCACCGCCCCCUGGGGCUUGUGGGUUCGAAUCCCACCUCGCUCA
RNAcentral lists this transfer RNA (84 nucleotides) under Streptomyces noursei. Its description in RNAcentral is "tRNA-Leu". It matches the Rfam family "tRNA". Rfam says of the family: Transfer RNA (tRNA) molecules are approximately 80 nucleotides in length. Their secondary structure includes four short double-helical elements and three loops (D, anti-codon, and T loops). Lineage: Bacteria; Bacillati; Actinomycetota; Actinomycetes; Kitasatosporales; Streptomycetaceae. The record is from RNAcentral. RNAcentral also lists the same sequence under 1 other name.